GAUCAUGGCUCAGGACAACGCUGGCGGCAUGCCUAACACAUGCAAGUCGAACGGGGGUAGCAAUACCCUAGUGGCGAACGGGUGAGUAACACAUAAGCAAUCUGCCCUUCACAGGGGGAUAACAGCGGGAAACUGCUGCUAAUACCGCAUAAGACCACGGUACCGCAUGGUACAGGGGUAAAACGAAUCAGUGGUGAAGGAUGAGCUUAUGUCCCAUUAGCUAGUUGGUGAGAUAACAGCCCACCAAGGCGACGAUGGGUAGCCGACCUGAGAGGGUGAUCGGCCACACUGGAACUGAGACACGGUCCAGACUCCUACGGGAGGCAGCAGUGGGGAAUAUUGGGCAAUGGAGGAAAAACCUCUUACCCAGCAAUGCCGCGUGAGUGAAGAAGGUCUUCGGAUUGUAAAGCUCUUUGAUUGGGGACGAAGAAAGUGACGGUACCCAAAGAACAAGCCCCGGCUAACUACGUGCCAGCAGCCGC
This 482-nucleotide ribosomal RNA is filed under the name uncultured bacterium. RNAcentral describes it as "bacterial SSU rRNA". It matches the Rfam family "Bacterial small subunit ribosomal RNA", at positions 15 to 518 of the family's 1533-position model. The record is from RNAcentral.